GAUGAAGAACGCAGUGAAAUGCGAUAAGUACUGUGAAUUGCAGAAUUCAGUGAAUCAUCGAAUCUUUGAACGCACCUUGCACCCUUUGGCAUUCCGAAGGGUAUGCUCGUUUGAGUGUCAUUGUACUCUCACUCUCCCGAUGCUUUUGGAUCGGGAGUGGUGGACUUGGGUGUUGCUGCUUUGCUGUGGCUCGCCUCAAAUGGAGUAGUGCAACUCUUGGUUGGACAUAGUACGGCGUGAUAAGUGUCUUCGCCGGCGCCUCAUUAUAGAGGGUGGCCGAUCGGGAGCUCUGUGCUUCAAACCGUCUUCGGACAACAUCUGACAACUUGACCUCAAAUCGAGUAGGACUACCCGCUGAACUCAAGCAUAUCAAUAAGCGGAGGA
This 384-nucleotide unclassified non-coding RNA is filed under the name soil metagenome. RNAcentral describes it as "partial contains 5.8S ribosomal RNA, internal transcribed spacer 2, and large subunit ribosomal RNA". The stretch from base 1 to 120 matches the Rfam family "5.8S ribosomal RNA", at positions 35 to 154 of the family's 154-position model. The record is from RNAcentral.